UACGUAGGGUGCGAGCGUUAAUCGGAAUUACUGGGCGUAAAGCGUGCGCAGGCGGUUUUGUAAGCCAGAUGUGAAAUCCCCGGGCUUAACCUGGGAAUGGCAUUUGGGACUGCAAGGCUGGAGUGCGGCAGAGGAGACUGGAAUUCCUGGUGUAGCAGUGAAAUGCGUAGAUAUCAGGAGGAAUACCGAUGGCGAAGGCAGGUCUCUGGGCUGACACUGACGCUCAUGCACGAAAGCGUGGGGAGCAAACGAGGAUUAGAGUACCCGGG
Molecule: ribosomal RNA, 269 nt
Filed under: uncultured bacterium
Lineage: Bacteria
Description: partial 16S ribosomal RNA
Rfam family: Bacterial small subunit ribosomal RNA
Source: RNAcentral